UAUUAGAAAGAAUACCAAUUGCGAAGGCAGCUUUCUGGAUCAUUACUGACACUGAGGAACGAAAGCAUGGGUAGCGAAGAGGAUUAGAUACCCUCGUAGUCCAUGCCGUAAACGAUGUGUGUUAGACGUUGGAAAUUUAUUUUCAGUGUCGCAGCAAAAGCGAUAAACACACCGCCUGGGGAGUACGACCGCAAGGUUAAAACUCAAAUGAAUUGACGGGGACCCGCACAAGUAGUGGAGCAUGCGGUUUAAUUCGAAGAUACGCGCAGAACCUUACCAACACUUGACAUGUUCGUCGCGACUUUAAGAGAUUAAAGUUUUCGGUUCGGCCGGACGAAACACAGGUGCUGCAUGGCUGUCGUCAGCUCGUGUCGUGAGAUGUUGGGUUAAGUCCCGCAACGAGCGCAACCCUCACUUUUAGUUGCCAUCAUUUAGUUGGGCACUCUGAAAGAACUGCCAGUGAUAAGCUGGAGGAAGGUGGGGAUGACGUCAAGUCCUCAUGGCCCUUACGUGUUGGGCUACACACGUGCUACAAUGGUAUCUACAACAGGAGGCAAAACCGCGAGGUUAAGCAAAUCCUUAAAAGAUACCUCAGUUCGGAUUGCACUCUGCAACUCGAGUGCAUGAAGCUGGAAUUACUAGUAAUCGUGGAUCAGCGUGCCACGGUGAAUGCGUUCCCGGGCCUUGUACACACCGCCCA
This 700-nucleotide ribosomal RNA is filed under the name uncultured bacterium. RNAcentral describes it as "bacterial SSU rRNA". It matches the Rfam family "Bacterial small subunit ribosomal RNA", at positions 695 to 1396 of the family's 1533-position model. The record is from RNAcentral.